RNAcentral lists this ribosomal RNA (252 nucleotides) under uncultured bacterium. RNAcentral describes it as "partial 16S ribosomal RNA". It matches the Rfam family "Bacterial small subunit ribosomal RNA", at positions 524 to 776 of the family's 1533-position model. The record is from RNAcentral.
UACGUAGGGUGCAAGCGUUGUCCGGAAUUAUUGGGCGUAAAGAGCGUGUAGGCGCCAGACAGGUCCGUUGUGAAAACUUGAGGCUCAACCUCGAGACGCCGAUGGAAACCGUCUGGCUAGAGUCCGGAAGAGGAGAGUGGAAUUCCUGGUGUAGCGGUGAAAUGCGCAGAUAUCAGGAAGAACACCCGUGGCUAAGGCGGCUCUCUAGUACGGUACUGACGCUGAGACGCGAAAGCGUGGGGAGCGAACAGG